Long non-coding RNA from Octopus bimaculoides (California two-spot octopus), 3820 nucleotides. Lineage: Eukaryota; Metazoa; Mollusca; Cephalopoda; Octopoda; Octopodidae. The record is from RefSeq and is a predicted model, not a curated record.
CGACGAUGAUUGAUGGAGAAUAGCGAAGUGUAAUAGGAGACGGUGUAAUAGCACAUGAAAUAUGGCACGCGAAAAAAAAAAAACAAGAACAAAAAGAACCCUGCUCCUCCUGCUACUUGAAUUUGUCCUCGCACGUGUUGAUAUAUUGUUGCACAUUGUAUUAUAGUGGUAUUUGAUAACUGUUGGCAACAGAACAAAAACAGCACGUCGCUGCUAAUUACUAAGCGAAGGUGGAAUACUGACAAUGAAGUCAGCAGGAAUACCAACAGUGAAAUAAGAAGAAAAUAAUAAUGGCAGACCCCCCAACUUACUCAAGAAAUGAAGAGGCAUGCUGUUAUUGUGGUUAUAAAGGCUGAGCAUAAAGAUCUUUCGUCUACAAAGUUUGUAAGGAGCUAGAGACUGAAGAUGGAAACGUAUCACCAGUAUCAAAGCACAAAAAGCAUUCUAAACGCUCUAAAAUCAUCAGACCACCGGCAAGUUGAUUACAAUCCCAGAAAUUCCAUGAGGCCAAUUUCAAAACUCUCCAUGUGUCAGAAGGAACAGUAAGAUAUGUUGUCCACAAAGACAUCAGAUAUAAGUCUUGUAUGAUGAGGAAAGGUCAAUUUCUCAUAAAAAGCAAAAGGCAAUCACUACAUCAGAUCUAAAAGGCUCUUAAACAAGCUGAAAAAUCCAGAAGAAGAUUUGAUUUGUUUUUUUCUCAAACGAGAAAAACUUCGACCAAGAUCAAAAAGCUAACAGAAGAAAUGACAGAUGGUUAUGUGCAGACACUUCUGAAGUUCCAAGUGUUAUACAUACAAAAUUUUUAGGGAUUGUCAGCAAUGAAGGACAUGUGGUGCCUCCUUACUUUUUUUCCAUAAGGCCUUAGAGUUAACUCUGCCGCCUACAUUGAGGUCCUGGAAAUAAUUCUUAAGCCAUGGAUAGAUAAUAUAUGCAAUGGAAGGCCAUAUGUGUUUCAGUAAGACUCUGCAUUAUCACACAUGGCUCUAGUAACACAGGAGAAAACUAGAAACAGACAACAAAUUAAACAACUAACGCCACAAAAUCCCAAUACCACAUCAAACACCCGUACAAACAGACCUAACCGAAAAUAUAAAAACCAUGUUAUCUUUUGGUAUAACCCAAUCUGGAGCUCGGACAUCUCAUCCAAAAUCGCGAAACAAUUUUUCGCUGACCUUGAUCGCUACUUCCCUAAAAAUGAAGUGUACAACAAAAUAUUUAACCGUCAUACUAUAAAACUGUCCUAUGCUAAUUCAUCAAAUAUAGAGCACCACGUUCGUAGGAUUAACAAUUGGAAACUGAGACAACGAACAGACUACACUCAAAAUAAGACGUAAAAAUUGACCGCGACUCAUUUAACCAAUCUAGAGACAACACUAAUAUCAAUCAAUUAAUGCAUCAAAAUGAUAAUAACUCUAACUAUGAAAGCAACCGAGAUAAAACAACUACAAUAUCGACAAUAACCAUCCAACGAAUCACACCACCAAUAAUUCAAACAACAACACUAAUACACCCAGAAAUAGUGAUAAUAAAAGGAUAACAAUGACCACAAAUAUACUGAACAGAACCAAUUCAUCUAGUACUCGCAGCACAAAAACAAACCAUUUAUGCUCAUGCAGAGACAAAUCCAAAUGUCCUUUAAACAAUCAAUGUAUAACAAAAAAUGUGAUAUAUAAGUACACUGUAAAUAAUAGAGAAGGCCCCUACGUAUAUAUCGGAGCCUCGGUAGAUCUUUUCCAAAAUCGAUAUCAUAACCACAUUGCCAGCUUUCGAAAUAUCUUUAAACGGUAUGUAACACCACUGGUUGAUUUUAUCUAGAGACUCAAGGAAGAGAAAGUAAUAUAUGACCUGACCUGCGACUCCCUACAACACCUUAUUCCGGAAAUGCCAGCUAUGUUCCGAAGAGUCACUCUCAGUAUUGUUAACAAAGAAGCGCAUUAUAAAUAGAUUUUAGGGACAAUUACACAGAUGCCUACAUGCAGCUAAAUACACAUUCACAAAUUACAAUCUUAUCCUUACCUAACUAAUGCGCUUUUUUUUUUUUUUCAAUAUAUAUUUUUGCUUGUAAUAGCCGGUUCUUUUGGUCAAACUGUUAUAUCUGCAGCUGCUUCAGAGGCCAAGAUAUGAAAAUUGUCAAGGACACGCAGUGUAGUUUUUGCGGCCACUACUGUCGUGCAGAGCACCAGACCAUAUUAGAUGUUAUAUUUUGGCGACUUCCUAAUAGUGGACAAUUUAACCCGCCUACAUUGAUGAUAUAAGCAUAAACACACCACAUGAAAAUGACUCUACCAGAGCUAACGAGGAAGAGAGAGAGAAGGGGAGGAGAGAGGGAGAGAGAGAGAGAGAAAGAGAGAGAGAUAGAGAGAGAGAGAGAGAGAGCGAGAGAGAGAGAGAUAGAGAGAGAGAGAGAGAGAGAGAGAGAGAGAGAGAGAGAGACUCCGAGCAAUUUCAACCGAUUGUUAGAAGGUAUCACGGCUGCGGUCGGUUGGAAAGGCAGCUUAAAAUAAUUGCGGAACUCCUCUCGCAAAGAAACUGAAUUGUUAAUCCAUUAUUUCACAUUUAAUACAUAUUUCCUUUUUAGUUUGACAGGGGAAGGGUCAAUAACUGUUGUCUCAUAUACUGAAUAUGUUAACAUAUCAGCCUACAAGACCGUAUCAACAUUUAUGUAGGACAAGGAUACAAUAAGGGCUUUGUAAGAUGCAUGAACAAUUUCUCGGAAAAUGUUAGACUGUUUUUACUCCAGAAGUGAUCUGGGGCAUCACGAAUGGAAAUUUAAAAAGGAGCAUUGGUUAACGCUCGUAUUUGAGGAUAAUAUUGGCAAUAAAAUUUAAUUCAUUUUAAUUAAUUAAGAUUAUUUAAAUAUAGAGUGUAAUGCGUAGUGAGUUUGAUUUAAUAGACCUCUUCAGCGAAUCAUUGUACGAUUGUCAGUGUAGACUUUACCCGAGUAGUGAAAGAUGAAAAGAUUAUUAUUAAAUAAUACUGUGUAACGAAGAUUUUAUUUCCAUUUUUAUUUUUUGUCUUCAGUCAGUAAGUGUUGUUUUCUAUUUGCUUCUAUCUAGCAAUGAAAGAAAAUGACUGCUUUUCCCUUCAAACUUUGCUUUUCUGACUUGGACAUCAAUAUUUUGAAAUUGACCUACUUUCCAUUACAUUUCAGACAUAUUCAGCACUGGGUUACUGAAGCAGAAAUAUCAUUAUAGCAAAUAUUCUGCUCAAUACCACAGAUUUAUUUGUCACUUGCUUGAUCUUAAACCACUUGAGCAUGUCCCUUAGUGACUAACAAUAUGUACAUUUCUGAUCAUAAGCAGGAGUAGUGAGGGAGCAUCAUAGCCAUGUGUUGAGAGGAAUUCUUUGGGGUUUGAAUAAAUAUAAGAAAUGCAAAUUUUGAAGGAAAUAGGCAUUUUUCAUACUUUCUAGAAGUAAGCAAAUAGGAAAUGACAGUUCUUACCCAAGGACAAAAAUCGUGUUACACAGUGUUAUUCUGUUUAUUGUGUUUGAUUAAUGAUGAACAGUAUCUGAGAAAUCUUCUAGGGGAAAGUGAUUUUCCCUCUUAACUCAGUAUGACCGAAACUUUGAUGAUAUUCAUUUCAUGUCGAUGAUUACUAACACUAAUGAUCUUUUUACAUUCAAACAAACUGAUGCACAGUUUUAAUAUUAUUGACUGUUGCGAACAUUUAAACUUGUCAACAUCGAAAUUUUUUAACAUGUUUUUCUAAUUCAUAAUUCUAAAUUUAUCUGUUAUGAACAUUUAAAUUUGUCAACAUUGAAACUUUUUAAAAUGUUUUUCUAAUUCAUAAUUGUAAAUUUUUACCAUUGAUAAACAAAA